CCAAUCAAGGAUGAUGAGGUGGUGUCAUACAUCCUUGCUAGGAUGGACAUGGAGUACCAUCCGCUCGUGUCUGCUAUCGACGCGCGCACCAUGCCGGUCUCCCUCGAAGAUAUCUUUGUCAUGAUGAGAAAUUUUGAUC
Non-coding RNA from Hordeum vulgare subsp. vulgare (domesticated barley), 139 nucleotides. NCBI's taxonomy places the organism in Eukaryota, Viridiplantae, Streptophyta, Magnoliopsida, Poales, Poaceae. The record is from Rfam.